UGGCACAUGAUCAACUCUCUGCAGAAUAUGAAUGGAGCGUAAGUAAAAUAUUUCAGCAGUCUAUUUGAUAGAGGUAACAGAUAAUUCUUCUGACAGUUCAAGUUACCUCAGUGAGUUUAUUGUCACAAAGAGAAAAGGCCUCCUGGCAAAACAACAGAUGCAUCAGUAAAUAUACAGCUAUUUAACAGGCAUGCUUCUUACAGUACGGCCAAAACAAUCACAUAAGGCAGUAUACCUCAGACAUCAUCGAAACAUCUGUUGGCUCUAACAGCUGCUGGAGAAGAAGAAGUUCAGAAAUUCAGAAAGUUUUCAGUGUCGAACUCUCGUCAGUUUCGACAGUCGUUUUCCCUCUUUCAGUUAGAAUAACCGAGCUGCGCCUCGGCCGUAGUUUGUUAGCUGUUAUCGCGGCCUUGACUUGAUCGUGGGAUGGCACGAAGUAGUUGGUCAAGGCCGUUAGACGUGCGACGCGCGAGGAUCGCUGGGAUGGCAGCGAUCGUGACUCGGGCCUCGCUAGUUUUCCCUUACUUUCAGGAGUUUCGUUGUAGCUCUGAAUAAAAAGUAACGAGACCAGAAAAGCUGCAGUUGUUCGCAGCGCAAAACACUCUCCCUCACUGCAAUCGUGAUCUCACCUCUCUCUCUACUAUCUCCUCUCCCAACAAGUGGCAUCAGAGCCUGGGGUUUAGGUCCCUGAGAUGGCUGGUGAUGGGGGCAAGAAGAAGGUGGGGGACGCCGACGAUGACGGUAGCAAAGGCUCACCGAAGUACGCAGCCGGCCAAGGGCGCGAGCUGGCACUGGCGAGGCAGUUUGCUCCGGUCACGUCGGGCCACGCCAACGUGCCACCAUUGACCCGCACGAACUACGCCGAGUGGAGUCUCCUGAUGGAGAUCGGCAUGCAGGCGCGAGGGAUGUGGCGCGCGAUUGAGGGUGCGGAGGACCUCGAUGAGGAGUUCGGCUACCGCAACGACAAGGGCGCGAUGGAGUUCAUUCUCCGAUCCAUGCCACCCGAGAUGCUGCCCAUGUUGCGCAAGCACAAAACUUCUCAGGAGUUGUGGGAGGCGAUCCGGGCUAUGCGUGCAGGCUCUGCGCGAGUCCGGGACGCCAAGGCCCAGACCCUCCGAGGACAAUUCGAUCAGCUACGGCACAAGGCUGGUGAGUCCAUUGACGAUCUGGUGAUGCGUCUGACAGGGCUGUGCGCGCGGCUCGGCGAGCUCGGAGAUGAGAUCAGCGACAAACGCGUGAUCCAGAAGUGGCUGCGCAUCGUCCCCAAGCGAUACUCGCAGCUUGCAGUGUUCAUUGACAAUCUGGUCGAUCUGGACACGACGACCAUCGAGGAAAUCAUCGGCCGUUUCAAGGCGGCCGAGGAGCGCUACGAGCUGGACGCCGAGGAGGAGGGCGGCAGCAAGCUCCUGCUCACUCUGGACGAGUGGAACGCGCGCCAAGGACGCGGUGAUCAGGGAGGGUCCUCCAACGGGGGAGCCAACGGCGGCAAGAAGGGGCGAGGAAAGGGUUCCGGCGACCGCGGCAAACCUGCUGCCCGUCCUGGCGGCGGCAAGCCUGCUCCCAGACGCCAGGGCAACUGCAGAUACUGCGGUAUUAGCGGCCAUUGGGUCCGCGAAUGUCGCAAGAAGCAGAAGGAGGAGGGCGGCGGCGGCGAAGUGCACCUUGUGGCUGCUGAAGACGAAGACCCUGCGCUCCUCAUGGCGCAGGUAUCCCCCUUCCCGGCGAGCCCGUGCUGAAACCACCAGGCGUCGAGGUCGUGCAUUUGGACGAGGAGCGCGCUGAUGUGUGCCUCGGCGCUGACGGGGACGUCAAAGAACCCCGUUGGCACCUGGACACUGGCGCAUCCAAUCAUAUGACGGAGAACCCCACAGUGUUCUCCGAGCUGGACCGACACGUCGGCGGCACUGUUCGUUUCUGCGACGGGUCGGUGGUGGAGAUCGAAGGGCGCAGGACGGUGGUGUUCGUCGCACACGGAGGGCGACACCGGGUGCUCUCCAGGGUGUACUACAUACCGCGCCUCCGGACGUCNCGGCAAGGGGCAGAAACCGCCUCUACACCGUCGAGCUGGAGAUCACAAGGCCAGUUUGCCUGACGGCUACGGCUGGGGAGGAUGCAUGGCGCUGGCAUGAGCGCUAUGGGCAUCUCAACUUCAACUCGCUUCGCAGGCUGGCUCAGGGCGACAUGGUACGCGGGUUGCCGGCGGUCGAGCAUGUGGACCAGAUCUGCGAUGGAUGUCUCGUUGGCAAGCAAAGGCGAGCCCCCUUUCCUGCCGAGGCCAUCUAUCGAGCUGGUAACCGCCUUGACCUGGUUCAUGGAGAUCUCUGCGGGCCCAUCUCUCCACCAACACAUGGUGGGAAGAGGUACUUUCUGCUCCUGGUCGAUGACAAAUCUCGUUUUAUGUGGAUUGUCUUGCUGAGGAGCAAGGAUGAAGCCCCGGCGGCGAUCAAGCGCUGGCAAGCUGCUGUCGAGGUGGAGACCUCCAUCAAGCUUCGUGUGCUGCGGACCGACAGGGGUGGCGAGUUCACCUCCACAGAGUUCGGGGAAUACUGUGCAGACCGCGGCGUACGUCGGCAUCUCACCGCACCAUACUCCCCACAGCAGAACGGGGUGGUGGAGCGACGGAACCAGUCCGUCGUGGGCAUGGCACGGUGCCUUCUGAAGUCGAAGGGAGUACCAAACAAGUUUUGGGGGGAGGCGGUGGUUACGGCCGUCCACCUGCUGAACUGUGCGCCGACGAAGGUGGUGCGGGGCAUGACCCCGUACGAGGCGUGGCAUGGGGAGAAGCCUACCGUGGGGUACUUCCGCACGUUUGGAUGCAACGCCCACACCAAGAUCACCAGGCCAGGGGCAAAGAAGCUGGAUGAUCGCAGUCUGCGGACUGUUUUCAUCGGCUACGAGCAUGGGCAAUCCAAGGCCUGGCGUGUUUAUGAUCCUGUGGGCAAGCGAGUUCACGUGACUCGCGACGCCGUUUUUGACGAGACGGCUAGCUGGGAGUGGGAGACUCCGGUGCAGGCGCAGGGCUCUUUCGUCAUCGACUUCACCCCGACUGUGGCCUUGCCACAGGUUGGGGAAACGGAUACGCCAGCACACCCCGCAUCUCCUAUGCACGCGCACACACCUGCGCGGGGCGACGGCGAAGGAGACGGAACCGGGGGGCAGUAUGUCUCUCCCCCUCCAGGAGCUACACCUGACAUGGAGCUGGGUGGCGAUGAAGCACCACGCCGUUAUCGCAUGCUCGACGCUGUUCUUCAGGAAGCAGAGCCAAGCGAAGCGGAAGCAGCUACACUACUCCUGGUGGCCGGGGAAGAGCCAAACACAUUUGAGGAGGCGGAGCCACACACAGCGUGGCGAGAGGCCAUGCUCGAUGAGAUGCAGUCCAUCAUCGACAACCAGACCUGGACACUCACUACUCUUCCCCCGGGCAAGAAGGCAAUCGGGGUGAAGUGGGUCUACAAGCUCAAGAAGAAUUCUGAGGGGGAGAUCAUCAAGCAUAAGGCGAGACUUGUCGCAAAGGGCUACGCGCAGCGACCAGGGGUAGACUACGACGAAGUGUUUGCUCCGGUGGCGCGGCUUGAGUCCGUGCGACUGCUCCUCGCGAUAGCUGCACAAGCAGGAUGGGAGGUUCACCAUCUCGACGUCAAGUCAGCCUUCUUGAAUGGAGAACUGCAGGAGGAGGUUUACAUGGUGCAGCCACCAGGUUUCGAGCGCGCUGGUGAGGAAGGGAAAGUGCUCCGCCUGUCCAAGGCACUCUACGGCCUCUGUCAAGCGCCGCGUGCCUGGAACAUCAAGCUGGACGAGACGCUGGUGUCUUUCGGUUUCCAGCGAAGCCCGUCCGAGCACGCCGUCUACAUGCGGCGCAACGGCGACGAGAGCCUGCUGGUGGGCGUCUAUGUUGACGAUCUCAUCAUCACUGGUUCAAGCAAGGAAGGAAUCCACUGGUUCAAGCAGCAGAUGCCGUCCACUUUCUCCAUGAGUGACCUCGGAUUGCUAAGCUAUUAUCUUGGCAUCGAGGUGCAUCAAGGAGACGAUGCCAUUACUCUCAAGCAAGCGAGCUAUGCGGCAAAGAUCGUGGAAAAGGGAGGAAUGACGGGAUGUCACCCUGUGCAUGUCCCGAUGCAGCCGCGGCUGAAGCUGAGCAAGGAGAGCACAAAUCCACCGAUAGAGAAGAAGCUCUAUCGCAACAUAGUUGGGAGUCUUCGCUAUUUGGUACACACAAGACCUGACAUUGCGUUUGGAGUUGGCUAUGUCAGCAGGUUCAUGGAGGCUCCCACGACUGAGCACUGGGCGGCUGUUAAGCACCUGCUGAGUUACGUGUCUAGAACGCUGAACUAUGGAUGCAAAUACAAGAAGAGGGGUGUCGAGCCACAGCUGGUGGGCUACAGCGACGCAAAUUUUGCUGGAGAUGUUGAUGACAGGAAGAGCAUAUCAGGGACAGUGUUCGUCUAUGGGGGAAGCGCGAUCAGUUGGCAAUCUCAGAAACAGAAAGUGGUUGCUCUCUCCUCCUGCGAAGGCGAAUAUAUGGCAGCAACGACAGCUGCUUGCACUGGUGUCUGGCUCCGGCAAAUGCUCGCAGAUCUUCUCGGGGAACCUCAAAGGAAGACCAUGCUGCUCAUCGACAACAAGUCUGUGAUCCAACUUUGCAAGAACCCUGUCUUUCACGACAAAACCAAGGACAUUGAGACUCGGUUUCACUUCAUUCGCGAGUGUGUGCAGGACGGAAGGGUGGCCGUCGACUAUGUCCACACCGGCGAGCAGCUCGCCGAUAUUCUCACAAAGGCUCUGCCUCGAGAGAAGUUCCAGGAACUGCGAGAGAAGUUGGGCAUGGUAAACCUCAGCAGCUGAUUAGGGGGGAGAUUGUUGGCUCUAACAACUGCUGGAGAAGAAGAAGUUCAGAAAUUCAGAAAGUUUUCAGUGUCGAACUCUCGUCAGUUUCGACAGUCGUUUUCCCUCUUUCAGUUAGAAUAACCGAGCUGCACCUCAGCCGUAGUUUGUUAGCUGUUAUUGCGGCCUUGACUUGAUCGUGGGAUGGCACGAAGUAGUUGGUCAAGGCCGUUAGACGUGCGACGCGCGAGGAUCGCUGGGAUGGCAGUGAUCGUGACUCGGGCCUCGCUAGUUUUCCCUUACUUUCAGGAGUUUCGUUGUAGCUCUGAAUAAAAAGUAACGAGAGCAGAAAAGCUGCAGUUGUUCGCAGCGCAAAACACUCUCCCUCACUGCAAUCGUGAUCUCGCCUCUCUCUCUACUAUCUCCACUCCCAACAACAUCCAGUGCCUCCUUAUACAUGUUCUUCUUGAUAAGAACUUUUGCCUUGUGAUGAAGCAUUAGAGCCAUCUUCAAAGCCCUAGAGAUAACACAGAUGAUGAGCUGGAUAUUAUAAACUACUGUACAUGAGAAACCCAUUGAACAGAAGGUUGCAUAUAUAUUACUCC
Molecule: long non-coding RNA, 5426 nt
Filed under: Hordeum vulgare
Lineage: Eukaryota; Viridiplantae; Streptophyta; Magnoliopsida; Poales; Poaceae
Description: long non-coding RNA (HVUL_LNC006218)
Source: RNAcentral